This 1249-nucleotide ribosomal RNA is filed under the name Preussia fleischhakii. RNAcentral's name for it is "eukaryotic LSU rRNA". It matches the Rfam family "Eukaryotic large subunit ribosomal RNA", at positions 1 to 1267 of the family's 3401-position model. The record is from RNAcentral. Lineage: Eukaryota; Fungi; Ascomycota; Dothideomycetes; Pleosporales; Sporormiaceae.
AUUUGACCUCGGAUCAGGUAGGGAUACCCGCUGAACUUAAGCAUAUCAAUAAGCGGAGGAAAAGAAACCAACAGGGAUUGCCCUAGUAACGGCGAGUGAAGCGGCAACAGCUCAAAUUUGAAAUCUGGCUCUUUCAGGGUCCGAGUUGUAAUUUGCAGAGGGUGCUUUGGCAAAGGUUGUGGUCUAAGUUCCUUGGAACAGGACGUCACAGAGGGUGAGAAUCCCGUACGUGGCCGCCAACCCGCGCUAUGUAAAGCCCCUUCGACGAGUCGAGUUGUUUGGGAAUGCAGCUCUAAAUGGGAGGUAAAUUUCUUCUAAAGCUAAAUAUUGGCCAGAGACCGAUAGCGCACAAGUAGAGUGAUCGAAAGAUGAAAAGCACUUUGGAAAGAGAGUCAAAAAGCACGUGAAAUUGUUGAAAGGGAAGCGCUUGCAGCCAGACUUGCCUGUAGUUGCUCAUCCGGGCUCUUGCCUGGUGCACUCUUCUAUAGGCAGGCCAGCAUCAGUCUUGGCGGUCGGAUAAAUGCGUGCUAAACGUACCUCUCUUCGGGGAGGACUUAUAGGGCACGCGGCAUACGACCAGCCGGGACUGAGGUCCGCGCAUCUGCUAGGAUGCUGGCGUAAUGGCUGUAAGCGGCCCGUCUUGAAACACGGACCAAGGAGUCUAACAUCUAUGCGAGUGUUUGGGUGUCAAGCCCGAGCGCGUAAUGAAAGUGAACGGAGGUGGGAACCCCUCGGGGUGCACCAUCGACCGAUCCUGAUGUCUUCGGAUGGAUUUGAGUAAGAGCAUAGCUGUUGGGACCCGAAAGAUGGUGAACUAUGCCUGAAUAGGGUGAAGCCAGAGGAAACUCUGGUGGAGGCUCGCAGCGGUUCUGACGUGCAAAUCGAUCGUCAAAUUUGGGCAUAGGGGCGAAAGACUAAUCGAACUAUCUAGUAGCUGGUUCCUGCCGAAGUUUCCCUCAGGAUAGCAGUAACGUUUUCAGUUUUAUGAGGUAAAGCGAAUGAUUAGAGGCCUGGGGGUUGAAACAACCUUCACCUAUUCUCAAACUUUAAAUAUGUAAGAAGUCCUUGUUACUUAAUUGAACGUGGACAUUUGAAUGUAUCGUUACUAGUGGGCCAUUUUUGGUAAGCAGAACUGGCGAUGCGGGAUGAACCGAACGCGGGGUUAAGGUGCCAGAAUGCACGCUCAUCAGACACCACAAAAGGUGUUAGUUCAUCUAGACAGCAGGACGGUGGCCAUGGAAGUCGGAAU